AUAUAAAUUGAAUUUAGAAAUAUUUUCAAAAUUAAUAAUUGAUAGUCAUAUUUAUUAUGAAAAUAAAAAUAAUAUAUAGUCAAUUACAAUUUGAUUUAAUCUUUAUUUAUAUUUUUACCUGCGUUUACCUGUAAAAUGAAUGCGCGCAAAUGUAAUCGAAAGCUGCGCGCAAACGUAAAACAUUUUAAUCCCCAAAUGCGCGCAAACGUAGUGCGCCC
Molecule: long non-coding RNA, 218 nt
Filed under: Mytilus galloprovincialis (Mediterranean mussel)
Lineage: Eukaryota; Metazoa; Mollusca; Bivalvia; Mytilida; Mytilidae
Source: RNAcentral